This 460-nucleotide ribosomal RNA is filed under the name uncultured bacterium. RNAcentral describes it as "partial 16S ribosomal RNA". It matches the Rfam family "Bacterial small subunit ribosomal RNA", at positions 338 to 795 of the family's 1533-position model. The record is from RNAcentral.
CCUACGGGAGGCAGCAGUGAGGAAUAUUGGUCAAUGGGCGUAAGCCUGAACCAGCCAAGUCGCGUGAGGGAUGAAGGUUCUAUGGAUUGUAAACCGCUUUUAUAAGGGAAUAAAGUGAGGGACGCGUCCGAUUUUGUAUGUACCUUAUGAAUAAGGAUCGGCUAACUCCGUGCCAGCAGCCGCGGUAAUACGGAGGAUCCCAGCGUUAUCCGGAUUUCUUGGGUUGAAAGGGUGCGUAGGCGGCCUGUUAAGUCAGCGGUGAAAGUCUGUGGCUCAACCCUAGAAUUGCCGUUGAAACUGGGGGGCUUGAGUAUGUUUGCGGCAGGCGGACUGCGUGGUGUAGCGGUGACAUGCUUAGCUCUCACGCAGUACCCCGAUUGCGAAGGCAGCCUGCCAAGCCAUGUCUGACGCUGAUGCACGAAAGCGUGGGGAUCAAACAGGAUUAGAUACCCCUGUAGUC